CAAAUAAGUUCUUUAUUUAUUUUUUCGUUUGUGCUCAUUUGUAUUUAUUAUUAUAAUCCGUCUUAUUGAUUAUUUCGUUUGCUAUUCAACAGUUUAUUAUAUUUGACACCUAAUGAGCUGUGAUUAGUUAUUUUUUAUGUUGCGUAUUCAAAUCAUUCGUUAUUAUGCAUACGAAGUUACUAAAUAUAUUUAUUAUUUUAGCUGUUCUUAUUUAAUUACCAUACACUCAUAGUUGAUAUAGUUUGAUUUUAGUUUGAUAUAAUUGUUAAUAUAAUGUUAAGUGCAUUGGUAGUUCGUGUUCUGUGGGGUCACCCAAAGUGGUAACCUUCCCAUUCGCUGCUCCCGUUGCUGUCGCUUCUGUGGCUGCCACUGGAUUGUUGAAAGUUGAGUGUUGAAUGUUGAAUGUUGUUUUUGGACGUGCUACCAGCGACGAAAUUUCAACCGUGGAUCCCUCGCCGCCUUUUAUUGUAAUUUAUCGACUCGGAUGCUACGUGAGUGUUAUUGAAAAUGGUCAUUUCGCUGUCAGCACCUCGAGGCACCUCGACAAGUCUGGCCUACCUCCAGCAGUAUUAUCAGCACAUGUACAUACAUAUUAUAUGUACAAGUACGAGUAUAAGUAUCUACAUAGCAGGCUGGGUCUUUAAGUUUAAUGUAUUCAAACAUUGAACUUUUAUUUGCUGUGCAAGUGACCAUAAUGAUGAUGAGGAAGGGGAGGGCGUGGCCGCAACGGUUGUUGAUUACGCCUACCAUGCGGAUUUUUGCAUUAUUGAUUUGUAAACACAGCAAUGCUUUUUGUACUUCUAUGCAAAACCUCAAGGAAACUGUAUGGAUGGCUACGCAGAUAAAAUUAAAUAAUAAUUCACAUGCAAACGGCGAAGCAUAAAUAUGUUAACAACAUAUACUACAUAUAUGUAGAUGAACGGAAUUAUAACUAUUUGGAGGCCCAGAUGGUGAUGGUUUUCGCUGUAAAUGCUGUCAAACUUACAUUUUUUCUAUACACCUUUUACAGCCCCCAUAACUUAUUGGAUUUUAUGGUUUUUUUGGUUAACCUCAGAAUAAAUAUUCAGUUGCGGUUUUUUUUGUUUUUUAUAGACAAGAAUUUUGCACAUGGGAGUGGUUUUCAUUUGACAGAAUCCACAGCGAAGAAGUUAAUUAAUGUUUUGAAACUGUGGACGGGAAAAAAUAUGAUUAAUUGGGGUUUUACGUUUUAUAAAUUUGCAUAACAAAUUGAAUAGGGUUGCUUACAGUUAAGUGCAACUGAUAAUUUGGAAAGGAAUGAAAAUCGGAGCUGAAAACAUUGUUAAGCAAUAUACGAGUAUAAUUGAUGCCUUACACCUUUAAGUACAUACAUAAUCCAGAAUAAGCUUAGUGCGCAAUAAAUGGUAGUCUGUUUUAGUUAAUGUGCUAAAGUGGCAAACCCUCCUCACUGAAUUUAGACAUUGCCUUCCACGUAUGUGGGCUCCGCCCCAAAAGUCGCAUGAAAUUGGAUAUUGGGAUAUGGCCAGACAAUAAAGUGAACCAAAUUACGGGGAACGCUGGACAUUUGCUACGCCACAUUCAUAAAUAAGCGAGUGUUUGGCACAUUUUGAUGGAUCGCCAGACAUUUGUCAUAAUGCUGGAAAUAAAAGCCACAACAGAAGAGCCGAAAAUAAAAACCGGAUUCGAUUCUCCCGCCAGAAGAUCGAAUACGAAAGACAGACGAGUAUAUGAAAGACAGGCCUCCCCGGCCCCAAUUUUCGUUACGAACUCUAAUUCCAAUUUCGAUUCCUAGAUUAAAACACAAAAAAAUAUUUCAUCAAUGUGUGGGCAUCGCAGUUUCGCAAGACGCGACUUCCCAUUGAUUGGCGAUAAUUACUCAAGGGUUGAAGGGGUUUUGACCGCACGAAAAAUGGACGAUGAACGACGAACGAUGGACGUUGGAGGAUGGCCACUUAGCAGUGGCGUGUUAAUGGUCCACUCUAAUGUCGCACAUUAAUUGUCGCGAUGACUGAUCACUCACGGGAAGGCUAUGCAAAGUCUGGUCUGGAUUACGGAUUGUACAUUAUUGAUAUGUGGAUUACGAAUUUCAGACUACGAAUUUCACCUGGGCCAGCGCAAACAAAUAUGCAGCUUAUCAAUUAGAUAGUUCGCAAAUUGCUGCUAAUUGCAAUUUGCUCUUCGAUGGGAGGGGGAAGGGGGCGAAAUAAAUAUUGUGGAUUUUUAUUGGAAAAAACUAAAUAGUUUUCUCAGCCUCCUCGCUAUUUGUUUAAUUUUUGCAAUAAUAUUUGUAUUUGUAUUUGUAUUCGCGCUUUUCACGUACUUUGCUCAAUAUUUUUUUCUUCUUCUAAUUUUGUGUGUUAUUUGUAUUUCGUUUUUUUUCCUCCCUUUUUUUCGUUUUUUUUUUUUGAAGCAGCUGUGCUAAUUUUUUCCCGCUAUUGUUUGGAAAACUUACCCUGAGAGACGCGAACAACGGGAAAAAAAAUACAAAAUAAAUAAAUAUUAAGUACAUAAAUGGUAUUUACCGCCAGUUGGAAAGAGUUUACUACGUCAAUUUGUGUGGCGUGUGGCAAAGGCAACGCAGGCAGCACGAGGAAGGUCGUGAGCACGGCUUUGGAUCGGAUCGGAUCGGAUCGUAUCCGAUCGUAUCCAUCGUAUCGGAUCGUAUCGGAUCGUAUCAGAUCGUAUCUAGAACAUCUCGAAUGUAGCUGUAGUAUCUGGAAGUAGCAUUGUGUUCUCGGGGGGUGGGCGGUAUGAGUCGACAUUGAAAUGUAGUUCGCAUUUGAUAGUCAAGGUCCCCGGUUUUCUUGGGAUUGUGAAACGUUUUUGGGGGCGGAUGUUUGGGGCGGUGUCAUUGAUCUAUUGUGGGAGAAAAGUGCUCUCUUGUUGAAAAGCUCGCUUAAUUGGAAAUUCGUCUAGCACGUAAGGUAAUUUGCCAAAUGUAAUGACGCACGUGAAUAUUUACAGAGACCCCGGUUCUUUUGUCCUUCCUAAAAUGUUUAUAUUUAUAACAUUUAGCUUUUAAUUUCAUUGUGAAUAUAUCCGUAUAUUUUGUAAAUCGAAUAAUUGCACUUGCCAUUUUUACACAACCUCACGGAUAAAUCAAUUGGCGAAUUUUUCAGCGUAAAUGGGCACGCUCGAUGCUAAAGAAGAUGGCCGAAAAGUUGUAAACUUAAUGAGCCAUAAUCGCAGAAUAAUAAAAUCAAUAAAAUGCAAUCAACUGGGACAGUCCAGAUCAACUGAAUAUAUAUCCCAUUGUUAAGCAAUAAAAUGCGGCAUAAAAUCGCUGGGCAGCGUUAUAAAAAUUGCAAUUGAAAUGGAUCCGAGCAAAAAGCGACAUUCUUGUUUUCGGGGUGUGGCUGCUGUUAAUUCAAGAUUUCAGACCAAAGACCACCGACCACCGAGCACCGACCACAGAAUAUUGCGCAUACGCCACGUGCAGCCAAGUGAGCAAUGUCAACGAAAAAAACUACAAAACAAACUAAUCAAAUAAACAAGAAACAGUUUAGAAAGGUUUUACCAACUUGUCAGGCAAAUAAUUAUGCUGUUUUCUGUUCUAAGUUAUGAGUGGCUUGAUUCGUUUUUCAAGACUUUUAAAGAACUUGUCUACUCACUUUUGAGCUUCGGUAUAUAUUACGCUUUGAUGUAACUCUUAAUAAAUGGAGCAUUAAUAUACGUUAUAUUUUAAGUUAUUUUAUUAAUAUGUACAAUUUUGCUGGAAAUAAAAUGCUUGAAUCUUGCGACGCUCAUAUUUUUGCCAUGUUCUUCUGUCAAUUGUUGAAAUUUGUUUAGUUAUGCUUUUCCUCGUGCCUUUUUGUUUACUCUGGUCACUGAGCGAGCCAACUACCUGUGCCGGGCAUUUAUGUAAUUGUCUGUCUGGCC
Molecule: long non-coding RNA, 3858 nt
Organism: Drosophila teissieri
Lineage: Eukaryota; Metazoa; Arthropoda; Insecta; Diptera; Drosophilidae
Exons: 3
Source: RefSeq, a predicted model, not a curated record